AGUUUGAUCCUGGCUCAGGAUGAACGCUAGCGGCAGGCUUAACACAUGCAAGUCGAGGGGUAUAGUUCUUCGGAAUUAGAGACCGGCGCACGGGUGCGUAACGCGUAUGCAAUCUACCUUUUACAGAGGGAUAGCCCAGAGAAAUUUGGAUUAAUACCUCAUAGCAUAGCAGCUUCGCAUGAAGCCACUAUUAAAGUCACAACGGUAAAAGAUGAGCAUGCGUCCCAUUAGCUAGUUGGUAAGGUAACGGCUUACCAAGGCAACGAUGGGUAGGGGUCCUGAGAGGGAGAUCCCCCACACUGGUACUGAGACACGGACCAGACUCCUACGGGAGGCAGCAGUGAGGAAUAUUGGACAAUGGGCGCAAGCCUGAUCCAGCCAUGCCGCGUGCAGGAUGACGGUCCUAUGGAUUGUAAACUGCUUUUGCACAGGAAGAAACACUACCUCGUGAGGUAGCUUGACGGUACUGUGAGAAUAAGGAUCGGCUAACUCCGUGCCAGCAGCCGCGGUAAUACGGAGGAUCCAAGCGUUAUCCGGAAUCAUUGGGUUUAAAGGGUCCGUAGGCGGUUUAGUAAGUCAGUGGUGAAAGCCCAUCGCUCAACGGUGGAACGGCCAUUGAUACUGCUAGACUUGAAUUAUUAGGAAGUAACUAGAAUAUGUAGUGUAGCGGUGAAAUGCUUAGAGAUUACAUGGAAUACCAAUUGCGAAGGCAGGUUACUACUAAUGGAUUGACGCUGAUGGACGAAAGCGUGGGUAGCGAACAGGAUUAGAUACCCUGGUAGA
Molecule: ribosomal RNA, 783 nt
Filed under: uncultured Ferribacterium sp.
Lineage: Bacteria; Pseudomonadati; Pseudomonadota; Betaproteobacteria; Rhodocyclales; Azonexaceae
Description: bacterial SSU rRNA
Rfam family: Bacterial small subunit ribosomal RNA
Source: RNAcentral